CCUACGGGUGGCUGCAGUGAGGAAUAUUGGUCAAUGGACGAGAGCCUGAACCAGCCAAGUCGCGUGAGGGAAGACUGCCCUAUGGAUUGUAAACCUCUUUUAUCUGGGAGUAAAAUGUUCCACGUGUGGCAUUCUGUGAGUACCAGAUUAAAAAGCAUCGGCUAACUCCGUGCCAGCAGCCGCGGUAAUACGGAGGAUGCGAGCGUUGUCCGGAUUUAUUGGGUUUAAAGGGAGGGCAGGGGGGUAGUUAAGUCAGUUGGGAAAUUUAGCGGCUCAACCGCAAGAGUGCAGUUGAAACUGGGAGUCUUGAGUAAAGGAGAGGUAUGCGGAAUUCGUGGUGUAGCGGUGAAAUGCUUAGAUAGCACGAAGAACUCUGAUUGCGAAGGCAGCUUACUGGACAGCAACUGACGCUGAGGCACGAAAGUGUGGGUAUCGAACAGGAUUAGAUACCCGAGUAGUC
This 460-nucleotide ribosomal RNA is filed under the name uncultured bacterium. RNAcentral describes it as "partial 16S ribosomal RNA". It matches the Rfam family "Bacterial small subunit ribosomal RNA", at positions 338 to 795 of the family's 1533-position model. The record is from RNAcentral.